Molecule: ribosomal RNA, 440 nt
Filed under: uncultured bacterium
Lineage: Bacteria
Description: partial 16S ribosomal RNA
Rfam family: Bacterial small subunit ribosomal RNA
Source: RNAcentral
CCUACGGGGGGCAGCAGUGGGGGAUAUUGCACAAUGGGGGAAACCCUGAUGCAGCGACGCCGCGUGUGGGAAGACGGUCCUCUGGAUUUUAAACCACUGUCCCCAGGGACGAAGAUGACGGUACCUUGGGAGGAAGCUCCGGCUAACUACGUGCCAGCAGCCGCGGUAAUACGUAGGGAGCGAGCGUUGUCCGGAAUUACUGGGGGUAAAGGGAGCGUAGGCGGGGAUGCAAGUUGGGUGUCAAAACUACCGGCUAAACUGGUAGUCGCACUUAAAACUGCAGCUCUUGAGUGAAGUAGAGGCAGGCGGAAUUCCAAGUGUAGCGGUGAAAUGCGUAGAUAUUAGGAGGAACACCAGUGGCGAAGGCGGCCUGCUGGGCUUUUACUGACGCUGAGGCUCGAAAGUGUAGGGAGCAAACAGGAUUAGAUACCCCUGUAGUC